AACCCAGGUGAGAGUAAGAAAUCGUGUGAUGGGAAACCAAAAGCAUUUCUUUUUUUUUUUGAGCUCAUCUUUUUUGUUUUUCCUUUCCUUUCUUUGGAUCUAGGAAAGAUGAACUCAGAUCUGAGACAGCCAGCCCUGCUAGUGCUGUGGGUACAUGGAUAAUCUGUCUAGCUUGAACCUUAAAAGCUGUAAAAACAGCUAACUUAACCUAAUUAAGGAGAGUGUUUGGGUUCUUUUUUGCUCUAUGUGGGAAUGUUGCUGGGGCAGACUGCAGGAAAAUGGGUACACAUGUAGCAUCAGAAGAUUUCUUCUGAAAUUGCGGUGACUGUACCAUCUGCCUGCACUGUGGAAGGUCCUGCCUUCACCAGAUGAUAAACUGAGCCAAAGGGAUGACAGAUAUUCCCAACGUUUUCCCAGGGCUCAGCUGUGGCCACAGGGGUUUGAUCUGAUAGCACCAACUCUGUAAGAUCAGCCAUGGUAGAGCAAGGCACGGGGUUCUGCUCCCAGCAGGUUGUGUGUUGGACCAGGGCAUCGUCUGCAGUCCCAGCAUGCCGCUGGGCCAAGUCAAACUUGGCUUUCCCCUCUUCUUUCUGUCCUGCCCAAACCCUCCCAUGGAAAGUACUGACCCAUCAGUGCCAUGGCUGUUGCUCAGCCUGAUCCUGCUCUUGGCUGAGCUGGUCAAGUCAUCUCCACCAUGAGGGGAGGCUGUGUGUGUGCUUCUCCUUGGAGCCACAGCAGUGUCUCUGGCUGCCCUGAUUCAACAUGGCCUUGUGUACAAAUAACCCUUCAAGGCUUCAACGUGGGUGGCAGUGUGUGCUCUUUGGGGUCACCAGGCCGUGUGGUUUCUGGCUUAGCACCCCUGCCGGGGAACUCUGUCCGUUGGGUGCUCGAAGUCAUCCCUGGCUUCCUGCAGGCCUGAUGUAGAGCUGCAGAGCUGCCCGUUCUGUUUUUUAACCAGGGUUUUCCUGUUCUGGCAAUGUUUUGUCUUUGAAACCCAGUGCAGACCCCCACAGAGAGCUCCUGUAUUGAACUGCAAGGCGCUGGGGGCUGUGCUCAGGGAGCUGGUUGGGAUCAGAGGCUCCCUGUGGUGUUGCGGGCAAAGAGGAGGAGUGGGCUGGUGGUUUGAGGACAUGGGAUGAAAUGUUUCCCUGUGUGUUGAUGGUGUCCUCGUUGCUUGGGUUGGUGUACGUGUGCUUGCCAGACCCUGCAGACCCCCAAGCCCAGAUAAACUGAGCCAGUGCUGUCUUCUGUGAGAUGGGGGUCCCCAGAGACUGUGGGUGAGUGUGAAGCUGAGGUUUGUUUAAGGGGGAAGGAUGUAAAGGUCAACCCCAUGGGCUGCCAGGCAGCAGCGGCAUCUCUGUGAUGCUGCCAGAGUGGACUGAUCUUCUUAUUUGCAUACAGGCAUCUAAAAUUUCUGAAGUGUAUUUGAACUUGUAGAGACUAUGAUAAACCUUUUCUGACUGCUGGGAUGUAUCACUGAGGGAACUUUAGGGUACACCUAUAGGACCUAUUUGCUUUAGGGUCAUCUAAGUUGCUAGGACUUCUUGAAUUGGCAUAGAGAAUGGGUUGGUCUUCAAGUCUGUGCUGGGAAGGCUUUUUUGUCUCCACAUAGGGAAACAAUCUGUUUUUCUUUUUUUUUUCCUCUGAGUUCAGUUGUUAUUGUCCUAGUUUUUGAGCAAAACUUAAGAAGAAAACCCCUCAGAUGGUUCACUAUUUUGUUAUGAUACCAGGAACAAGGAGUCUUUCCAACAGAAGAGAUAAUCCCUUGUCUCAUUAAAUUUAUGACUUCAAAAAAAACUCCUGCUGGCCGUUUUCUGUGGGGGCUAUUUUCUGAGGCAGCUUCUUCGGUUUUGAAUGGUUUCAUUCCUCAGCGCUUCUUUUGAGUGGAAAGUUUAAAGAUGCGUCAUCUUGCAUGAGCAGGGCGAUAAACUGUGAAGCAAAUGUGAAGAGCCUUAGAAAAGGGCUGUACAAAAUGCAGAUGUAGGGGAUUAGAAAACAGAACUGCACUACAUCCAGCGAUAAGUAGGGUUGGACUCAGCAAUUUCUGAGCAGUUGCACCAGGGAGGGGCAGGGAAUAAUGAAUUAUUUGCUUUUUGGCUCCCAGCAAGCAAAGCAGAGGCGGGGAAACCUCUGGGGUAGGUUUGUGCCUUGGGUGCUACAGUGGUGCUGGCCAGCAGUGGUCUCUGGACAGGGCUGGGGGUGGCAGGGAGGUGAAUUACACUGCAGUGUCUGUUAGGGGCUGUGGUCUCAUCGCCUGUUAGCCAGACAGGGCACAGGGAUAACAACAUCCCAUUGGAUUUCAUGUUUAUCAAGUGUUGCACACUCCAGAACGGUUGGUAUUUCCAUGGAGGAAACUCAGCUGCUGGCAACUGUGUCUUGCUGCUGUUUGGGAGAUACAAAGUGAGAGGAGGGACUUUCAAGCAAUAGAGAUGCUUUCAGGUAAGGAAAACCCAACGUGUAGCUAUCGGGAGCAUACCCAGGCUGUAAGUUUUGAAGGCUGGAGUGCCCCAGACCAACACUCAGAAGUAUGGCUUUGGUGACUGAGAGAAAAUCAACUCUUGCCUGAAGCAGAGAGGGAAGCCCUGGACCCUGGCUCUCAUCUAUUAAUAGUCCAAUUCAUUUUAUCACAUCUCUAUUUGCCUGAAAGUUUUUGCAGUUUCCCCAGGGCUCAAAUUGCUCUCGUGGCUGGGGGCACCGCACUCCUUGAGUUCCUGGAGAGCCUGCCUUGGUUUUGCAGUGCUAAUCAUCACCUGUCUGAGCAGCUUUGCCAGGGGUUUUGCUUUUGCUCAGGAAGUAAUCAUGCAAAAGCUCCAACUGAGUGUUGAGGCUCCACCUCGAGCUCAGGGUUUCCUACACAGCCCUCUCCCUAUGAGAUUACUUUUGUGCCUUCUCCUUUGGCUUGCUCGUCUUACUGGAGGAGCAAAACUGCUGUCAGCCCCUUGGUGCUCUGGGGUAAGAUCUGUUGAUGUGUCCUGAGGCCAGAGUCUCUUUUUGUUCACAAGAAAUUUUCAGGGUACAGACUACAAGUGGUAUGAUUAAAAAUUUGAGUUGGAUAUCUUUAUUUUUUUUCUCCUCUGAUCAGGUCUUUCAUCACUUGUCUCUUGCUAACCAGGGAAGCUCUGAGACUUGGGCAGAUUUCAGAAUUUCCAUCUACCCCAAAACCUGCAGAUUUAGUCACCACUGUCCCAGCUUCACCAGGCUCUCCAACUGCCUUUGACUCAGUGAGUAGCUGUGCAGGCUCACUUUCUUGCUGGAGCUUUUUGAUAGACCAGACCCACCUUUUCCUUGUGCUGAGCCUGUAUAUGCACUGUCUUCAUGGGCCUCUGAACCUAUCCCUGCCAGGUGCAUUCCACCAAGAUGGGAACCUGUGGAUGUAGAUCUCUUUUCUGUUUAAAGCUUGUGGAGAGGCAUGGGGGAUCUUAUAAGUAUUUUCUGCUGGAUCUCUUUUGCUAUUUCUUUCUCCUGUUUCCAUUUCUUUCCCUUCUGAAGACUAUCCAAAGACAUGAAUAUUAUGCAAUGGACUGUGAAGGACUUGAGAGAGAAAGCUGUAAAAUGCACAUCAGCCACUUCAUAAAUGUCAGGGAUGCUGUUCAGAAGCAUGGCUACUCGAGUUUAGCCAGUUCUGUAUCUCAAGUGAUCCCUGCAGAUUUAUUAGAUGUUUCAAAAUAGAUUUGAAAUAACUGGAUUUAGUGUUUCUGGCGAUUCCUUGAACCAUCUUGUUUUUCAGCCAACUUGCAUAAAUGUGCCAGUCAUGGGCUGCAGUGUAUCAGCCAACUUAGCAAAUGGUUUUAUUUAUAGCUGAAAGAGUGAAGCCAAGGAGUAUAAAUCCUGAAAAAAAGUAUAAACUGUAUUGUGGAAUUAAUAAACUUCAGAUUCAUGGAAUUUCUAAUGUUCCACUGAUGGCUAAAAAAUCUGUUUAAUGGCCGCUGAGUGAUACUUGGCUGCAAAGCAGAAACCCCAAAGUUGUCUUAACUCAUCAGUGAUAUUUUUUAGUGUUUGUGUGCUGGCGCUGAAUGUCUUUGCUGAAUGAUGGAAAGCUGACCUUCUCCGCCGCGUUUCUGCAGCGACCAGAUAAGAUUUCAGAUCACAGCUUCGCUUCUUCUGUUGAUGGUCUGUGGCUGUAGCCCAAGAAGCGCUGUUGGAUGUCGGGCUGUUUAUCUGGAGGAUCAGUUGCGUGUCUGGCUAACUUUGGGGGUGUGAACGAUGUUCAGUGCUGAAAGCAAGUGCAGGGGAAGGAGCUGAGGAGUUGAGAGUGGAUCCUGUGCUUUCAGAGUGUGGCUGGCCAGCCGGGGGAGGUCCAGCUGCAUCUUCAGAAACAACCAGUGUGUGUUGGACCUUUAGAGGUAAGUAGAUCUGGGCUGUUGAGGAGGCGUCUUCCUCCUUCAUCUUUCAUCUCCAUUGAAACUGCUUGUGAUUUUGGUGUAUUUUUAAGCUAGUGACUGUAACAUUCUUUUUCACAGUGAUUCAUUAAAGUUUCAGGACCUUAUUGCACAUCCUUUCCUCGUAGGUCAGUGUCAGGGCAAGUGUGUUGCAGAGAUCUCCUUGCUACAUGGAUUAUUUAUGUGGGAAUGCAUAGGACCUGUGUGGGCAUUUAACAGCUGCUGGUUGGCAAAUCUGCGUGUAGGAGUGUUGUCCUGGGUGGUGCUGGUCAGGGAGCGUUGGCAGCAGCCUGAGCUUGGGUCCUCUUCCUGGGCGGGGGCUAUGGAAGGAAUGGUGACAGCAGAAACCACCGAGCCUUCGUGGUCCCCAAGGCAGGGGGUUACAGCAUGAUGUCUUGAGCACGUGGGUGCUGUUUUGUGACUGCAGCGAGCUUGGGGUGCUCGUGGCCAUUCCUAUAGCCUGGCUGAGUGGCACAGAUGUGCUCCAUGGCAGCCACAGUGUGUUUGCACUCGCUGUGUCUGCAGGUGAUAGCCAGGUGUCCUCCUUGAGUGUUGUGUCCCUCAUGGUUGGGUGUCCCUGACCUCAGAGAAGAGCAGUGUCUCCAGGGUCAUUACUCUCAGUCUCUCAUCUCUUACUGUGCUUUGUCAACUUGGACCAGCUUGACUUUUCGUGCAUGUAGCUGCUGCUUCCCAUUCGAGAGAUGGUCUCUAAAAGCAUAGUUAUAAUUUAUUUAUUUAAUUUAUUUUAGAGCUAAGUUCAGCUAAGCAAGUUUGCACUUUUCUAGGUUCUAGUGAUUGACACUGUGUUUGAACACCACGUUCAAAGCUAAUAUUUCUUGCAGGUGCUGGGAUAAGUAUCUGUAAAUCUUUGCAUUUACCAUUAUCCCCAAUUUUCUUGUGCAGUGCCUGCUGUCACCGCAUAAGGGUAUUUAUCCUGCACAUAAUCUGAUUGGAAAAUAACGCUUUGAAACAGAAAGGAAAAUACACAUUUCAGGUGGUGUUAGAAAUGUCAGUUGUGGAUGCUUAAACAGUCCUGAUUGUCUGCAGGCUUUGGGGCAUUUGGGUUUUCAGCUCCCUAUUGUUACAUCUAAAGCUGCUUAUUGGAGUCCGAAUAGGUUAGAAAGGCACCUUGUUCCUGAGACCCUCAGAAGUCUGCCUUUCCCCCACCGUGGAGGAUGGCUUCUCACAGCCCAGCCAGUCAAGCCUUAACCCUUGGCUUAGACAGCGUGGGGCUGAACAAAGAGCUGCAGCUUUCAGAUGGAGCAGAAUAAAAAGCUAUUAUUUCAUAAUAAUACUUUACUCUUUCCUUCCAAGGAUUUCCUAAGGACUUUACAAAUAUUAAGGCCUGGGCAGUCACCCCCAUGACUGAGAGCUGGAGAAGUGGCUGUGUGUGGGCAUCUCAAGAGCUGAACAUGAGUCAUAAUCUCUGCUCUGGGGUGAUUUCAAGACUCAAGUUCCCUGUGCAGUUAAUGCCUGUAAGAGGUCAGUGUGUGGGACCAUGAGGAUGUUUAGGGCCAGGAGAGCCUCCUGAUUUGCUUUGUUCUGUACCAAUUUCUUAGCCUUGUUCCAGCUCCUUGACUCUUGCCAGUCCUUGUUGGGUCUUACAUGAAGAUGGUGGUGACUGGGAUCAAGGAUGCUCUCUGCACAGUCCAGAUGGACUUCUUCAUGCCAUCCCUCGGGCAGGGAAGAUGAAAAGAUUUCAGUGCUCAUUUAGAUGCCACUGUGGGGGUGGUGGAAAUCCAGCUGUUUCCUGGAGUGCUUGUACCCAACCCUCUGUCUCUGCCACCAUCACAGCAUUAGGUGGGAUUGAGGUAUCUUUGUGCAGAGGGCCGUGCUUGCAGCCCCUUGUCCCUGUGGUGGGAGGAGAGAUGGGGUACAGGGUGUCUUCCCCAUAAUAUCUAGUCCUGUCAUUGAGCAGAUCAGACCCCUCCUCAAAUUAAAAGUGGGAGCUUCUCUUACCAGUGAGGCUGAGAAUCUUUGCUCUUUCAUCCAUCUUCUCCUGCCUUUGUAGUCCUCUGGGGCACCAACAGGAGCUGUUUUACGUUGUGAGUUUUUCUUCUCCCACCGCUUCUUCAAUUGCACCUUAAAAUUGGCACCUCUGGGAAUGUUGUGGACUCUCAGCUUGGCAUCUGGCAUUUCUGCCCAGCCUGGGGCCAGCUGUGUCUGGCUGUGAGCAGCAGUGGGUGAGCAGUGCUGAGAACCUCCUGUUCCCAUGGAUCUGGGUACUUCUGUGGAGGGAGCACAUGGCACUGCCCUCUUUGUCCUCACAUCAUCCCUCAAAGACCUCCCUCUGGCCGGCGUUACAGACGGGUGGAUAGAUCAGCUGCCAUUUUCUCUUUCAAACAGUGACAAUAAGUCUCUUUCCUUUGCAGGGACAAUUAGUUUCUUUCCUUUGCGAGGUGUUUGGUUGGAAUGGGCUGACCCCUCUUCAUGGAAGGAGGGCCUUUGUCCCUUGUGUCCCUGGGAGAAGCCACAGCAUGGACCAUUUAUGGUUUUUCCUUUUAACACAGUGACGGCGGCUUUGUUUUCUACGUUUAGUUUGCAUCUAAGACCAGGACAUGGCUCAUGCUGUGUCCCUGAUCCAGUGUUUAAAGCUUUGCUGUGAUAUAAGUUUGGCCUGGGCCCUGCAGGGUUUAGCUUAAUUUUUAAAGCUCUCAAUGUGAAUAAUUCCUUGCUGAAUGCAGAUCGCAAGAGGGGAUAUUGAUUUAAAGCUUUAAAGCUGGUGGUUAUGGAUUAAAAAAAAAAGGAGAGAGGAAAGAAGGAGAUUUACUGUAGUCAGAGCUGGUUGCCUAAAUGUUAGUCCCUUACAGACAGGCUUUUGCUGAGCUAGGUGUGGGAAUGGCAAGGAAGCCUGGUGAAUUUUAGCUUUAAAUUGUUGGCUGCUGAAAACCAACCCUGGGGUACACUCAAUAACUGUUUGCUGUGCCAGGGGAGCAUUUGCUGCUGCCUGGGCACUGUCUCAGUACAGACAUGCUGUGGGGCUGCAGCAGCUAACCUGGACCCUUCCCUAGGGUAGGGGAUCAGGGGGAGGAUGGGUUGGGUUGGGCUGAUGCUGCUGUGCAGCCACACACAGACUGUAACUGGAGUGGCGGGUAGGGAACACUCAGAAGAGCAGGGAUGUAGCAGCUCGGAAAGAACAUUGUGGGGAAGGAAGCUUUGGUACGAAAGAUGCAGUGGAAAAUAAAGAGAAUUAAAAGCAGGCUGUACGUCCAGUUAGCAGACAGGGCUCUGAGGUCACUAAUGCUGGUUAUUUGGAUUUCAAAGAGGAUCCUAUUAGCUUCUGUGGCGGAGAACCAUUAAUCAGUGGGGCGGGAGCUCGGGCUGGCUGGAGAAAUCAGUUUUCAGUGUCCUUGAUGUCCUGCCGGGCUGGCGCUGCAGAGCAUCCUGCACAAUGGUGGGUUUGUCUGGGAUGAGGCACUUCUAGCCAGAGGCACUGUGUGGAAUGGGGAAUGGUAGGCCCCUCUGCCUGGGAUCCGUGCAGGGAUAUAUGGAUGUUGUGUCCAUGCAGACCCCAUUGUAAAUUCCCAUCUUGAUGCUACUGUCCCAGGGAAUAUUGCUGAAUUGCUCUAAAUGAGUACAAAAACUGAGUUACAUACCUUUGGCAAGCAUCCAGUUAAGUUUGCUAAAUGGGAUUAGGAGAGAAAAAACAGUGUUUCCAGGUGUGACUGUUGUGAUCCUUUGGAAAUAUAAUCUCUGGCCUGCCUUUUUGUUCCAAUUGAGAACAUGUGCCCAGGAGCCAUUUCCAAAGGAGCUUUAAGCACAGGACUCAAAGUAACAUUGGAAGUUUGAGUUGGACUUGCACAACAGCCUUGCUUUCCAAGCCUGGUGCUUUAAAAACCUCUGAGAGAAGCCUCUUAGUAUUUGGAAGAGUAAUUUGCUGUAGAAAGAUGCCAUAAGUAAUGCAGAAAUGUUGGGCUCAGAGAAGGGUUGUUUGGAAAAAAUCAAGAUCUGGAUGUGGUGGUAGAAUCUGAAACAAAACUUUUUUGUUAGUUUUUUUCCUACUUUUUGGGUAGUUUUUUCUCCCAAAAAAGUGUUUGAAACCUCCUUGCUUGAAAUAUUUAAAUUUUUGUCAAAACAUUUUAUCUGGGAAUUGAUCUAACACUUCAUUGUUAUUUAAAUCCUCCAGACGUCAUCAGAGGAAGAUAUUUAUCAACAAUUACUAUCUCUAACAUCCAUAAACCCCAAUAAUUUCUUCUUCUACAUGUAGAUUUAAACCCCCAGUCUGAUCCGUUAAGACUUUGUAGGGACUGAUAAGCAGAACUUUAAAAAAACAAAAAGGACAAUAAAAAUGGUUUUGUGUAGAAAUUAUGGCCAUUGCUUUGAGAAACUUGAUUAAGAUCAGCAAGUCUCUGGCUGCACUGAGUAUACUUAAAAUCCCUAAUUGUCUGGCUUUUUGUCUGCAGAAUGAAUUUAUAAGAAAAAGGAGAACCCAGGCCUACUAUCUUAACAUGCCUGGAGUUCAUGAGUAGAGCUGAGUUUCAGAGAAUCCUGCCUUGUUUUGACUACAUCCUUAAAAUGGAGAUCUGGAGAUUAGUGUGGUGGGCCUGGGGUCAUCUCUUUGCAGAAUGUGUAGUCUGAGACACACAAGAUCUUUUUCUUCAGACGUCCCUUCUGGUUGUGGUGUUUGAGCCUUUGCUUUGCUCCCUGGCUAAGAGUAGCGUUAAUCAUAGGACUGGAAUUUGUGACUUAACCAAAGAAGCGUUUUAAUGCUUUUCCUGUCAUUGAUCAAUGGCUGGAAGCCACUCUCUCGGUAGCAUGUCCACAUUGACCUCUGUGUUGGUGCUUGAUGGGUUCCCGUCCUUCUGGGUGCCUCCCAGCCCAGGAAUGCCUUCCAGUAUGCCUGCCUUUCUCCUUUGGAAAGGGAUGCUCUGAACUUGGACCCCUUAGAGACAGAAAAGAGGCUUUUUGUGCACGCUGCAAAGGGCUCUUGUGUCUGCAGCAGGGCACGACAGAGACCUUCCUUCUGAAUCUGUACUUGGAGAACAAAAAAAAAGCCCUUGCAUCAGAACUUGCUAUUUAUAUUUCUAGCUCUGAGACUCCUCAGCUGCAUUAUUAAUGAAGCGUUUACCAAUUAAGAUAGAUGAGUCUGCUCUUGAGGGUGUUUGUUAAGGUAAGGAAUCUUAUUAGCAUAUCUGAUAGAUACAGUGCCAGGUGCUGAUUAAAACCUUGUUGACUCCCCAGGGGCAGAAGUCUUGAGGAAAUAAGGUGGAGAUAGUUGUCCUCUUUCCUGGCUUUGGCCGUGCAGGGAGCAGGAAGAGAAAUUCAACAUUUGUCCCCAAAGGCAGAGCCCUGAGCCUGUGAGCAGCUUGAAAUGGGCAUGGGGAGGAAAUUAAUCAGCCUGGAUCAGAAAUUCCAAUAGCUGGAGCGAUGCAAGUGUGAUUAAUGCCUCCUGAAUGUGAGAGGUGGCAAGAUGCUAGUUUUGCUGCUCAUGCAAGGCUAGCAGCCUGUCAGGCGAGGAAUUAGUUUCCAGUGUUGACCCUAUGGGUUUCGGAGGUCUGGAAUCGAUGCUUGCCUAUGUAACAGUCUUUCAGCAGCUCACUAAAUUAGGUUUGCAGGCAAAAUGAUGCUGUGAGGUACAGUCAACCCACAUAUGAAACCAAUUUCCCUUUGAAGCAGCACUAAAGAGGGCAACCAGAAGAGAAACGAGAUCAUCUUUAGGUCUCUCGUGACCUACAAGAGUUGAGAAGUGUGUAUUCACUUUCCAUAUUUAUUAUAAUAUGGCAAAGGAACUGCAUUGUAGGCUUUAAUGAUCCGCAUGUGAAGAGCAUCUUAAAAUAGACUUCAGAUCUCCUUGGAACAUACAUAUGUGUUUAUAAUUUUACAGCUAUAAAAAUAUAUAUUUACUGAAUACAUGUACUUUGUUUUUCCAUCUGCUAAAUAUAGUCACGUAUGAAAGUUAUAUGGAAAAUGUAAUUUUCCCCCGAAUUAUCCUGCUGUCAGUCUGCUUCAAUUUCAGCGUCGGCAGAGGCGAGAGUGGAGAUGGGCACUGUUGUGCUGCCAAGCAGGUGUCUGGGAGCAGUUUGCCUCAGGAUGGGGAUUACUGGAGAUGGGGUUGGUGGUACCAGCUAUUAUGAAGCUUUGUCCAAUUGUUAACGAGAUAAAAUCCUGUGUUCCGAUUUGCUUGUGAUUCUGUUGGGAUUUUAAACAUCUAUGCUUGGAAUUUUCAUGCUGGAUGUUGACCUCAAAUGGUUUGAUUUUAA
Taeniopygia guttata (zebra finch) is the source of this 10579-nucleotide non-coding RNA. The record is from RefSeq and is a predicted model, not a curated record. Lineage: Eukaryota; Metazoa; Chordata; Aves; Passeriformes; Estrildidae.